AAUUGUGUUAUUAAAGCUGCUUGGCAGCAGUAUCCUCUGUUUCAUUUUCACCUAAAGAAAUGGAAUACUGAUAUAUAAAUUCAAAUUUAUGAGGAUAUGUGUCAGAAAACAUACAACCUAUAAUGGGAAGCUGAGGUGGCAGGGGCCCUUGAUUUUCCAUACUCGGACAUUCUUUGUGAGAGCCCAGAGCCAACUAGGGGCUGGUUUUAAAUACUGCUGAAGGAGGUCAUCAAGAGGACGUGAUUGCUGAUUGACCCUCCAGGUGGAUCCAGGCAGUCAGAGGCUCCUCCCCAUUCCCUUGGUCUUGGAAGGUCUGCUCAGCCUGAAGCUCUCACAGCCAGGGCCAUUUCCAGGGUGCUGCAGCCUUGAGAGUGAGGUGCGUUGAGACCAUUUGGAUAUGUGAUUGAAGCCCGUGCAGGCCUUUGAGUAAGUGUUUUAAGAUUCUCGUGGAUGUGUAUGGACUCAGUCACCUUGCAGCGCCCAGACAAGCCUAUUGGGCUGCCCAUUUGGAGUAAGAGAGUGGAAAAAAUGGAGAAAUACAAGAUGGAGUAGAGAUGGCAAAGGUGGAGAACCAAAUAAUACCUAAGAGUGAGGCUAGAGACAUGACCACUGCCCCAGGAGACAUUUGAUGGUUGGUCGAGAACUUUAAGGGACUUUUGAAUUCCUCAUCAUUGACUGAUCAUGUACUCUUAUCAGUAAUACUUUUCUGAGUGUGCCUCCCACAUAAACAUAUUCUUUUACUUAUUUUUAAAUUUAUACUUGUACUGAUGUUCCAGUACAUUAUGUUCAUUACUAAAACUAUACAAAUAUUAGAAAUGUAAAAACUUUGAGAUAAAGAUUUAAAAAGC
Non-coding RNA from Sus scrofa (pig), 848 nucleotides. Lineage: Eukaryota; Metazoa; Chordata; Mammalia; Artiodactyla; Suidae. The record is from RefSeq and is a predicted model, not a curated record.